This 449-nucleotide ribosomal RNA is filed under the name Proteus mirabilis. Its description in RNAcentral is "bacterial SSU rRNA". It matches the Rfam family "Bacterial small subunit ribosomal RNA", at positions 30 to 473 of the family's 1533-position model. Lineage: Bacteria; Pseudomonadati; Pseudomonadota; Gammaproteobacteria; Enterobacterales; Morganellaceae. The record is from RNAcentral.
AUUGAACGCUGGCGGCAGGCCUAACACAUGCAAGUCGAGCGGUAACAGGAGAAAGCUUGCUUUCUUGCUGACGAGCGGCGGACGGGUGAGUAAUGUAUGGGGAUCUGCCCGAUAGAGGGGGAUAACUACUGGAAACGGUGGCUAAUACCGCAUAAUGUCUACGGACCAAAGCAGGGGCUCUUCGGACCUUGCACUAUCGGAUGAACCCAUAUGGGAUUAGCUAGUAGGUGGGGUAAAGGCUCACCUAGGCGACGAUCUCUAGCUGGUCUGAGAGGAUGAUCAGCCACACUGGGACUGAGACACGGCCCAGACUCCUACGGGAGGCAGCAGUGGGGAAUAUUGCACAAUGGGCGCAAGCCUGAUGCAGCCAUGCCGCGUGUAUGAAGAAGGCCUUAGGGUUGUAAAGUACUUUCAGCGGGGAGGAAGGUGAUAAGGUUAAUACCCUUGUC